Molecule: long non-coding RNA, 611 nt
Filed under: Musa acuminata (dwarf banana)
Lineage: Eukaryota; Viridiplantae; Streptophyta; Magnoliopsida; Zingiberales; Musaceae
Description: long non-coding RNA (MACU_LNC006826)
Source: RNAcentral
GUUGAUUUCCCUCCAUUUAUACAUCCGCUAACUCACCAUAUUAAAUCACACAGAUCGAUAUAUUGCUUUACCAAUCAUGUCAGGCAGGAGGAGACGAGCUCAUACAUCGAGCUCAAGCGCAUCGAGAGCAAGGGCGCCGAGCCGGCCUCUCCAAGAAGGUCAAGGAGCUUUCCCUCCUGUGUGGCGCCGAGCUCGCGCUCAUCGUCUUCUCGCCUGCCUGCAACCCCUUCUCCUUCGACCACCCCUCGGUCCACUCCGUCAUCGGCUGCUUCCUCUCCAGCCGCGCCGUGUCUCCUCCUUCGACCCAUUGCCGCCAUCUGCUGUUGCAGACCGUCCGAUGAUCUCUGCACACGCUUCAGUGUCUGAAUAAACGAGCUUGACAAAAGACGAGGAAGAAGGCAGUGGUCCUCCAUGGUCGACCUCUUCAAUGCAAAAUUGGAGGAGCUUCAGUCGAAUGCAGAUGUCGAAGCCAUUCUCCAAGCUUUGGGGUCAUGCAGAACAAAGUCGCCUGUGAGACCUUCCACGAAAAUGGAGAACAAAGUAGAGACGCUUAGAUCUCACGUGUCGAUCGUAAGACACGUGCUCCAAACCUCGGUGGAAGGCUCGUCAAG